UAACGUGUCCCGAUGGAUGACUUGG
RNAcentral lists this ribosomal RNA (25 nucleotides) under Leishmania tropica. RNAcentral's name for it is "partial 5.8S ribosomal RNA". Lineage: Eukaryota; Euglenozoa; Kinetoplastea; Trypanosomatida; Trypanosomatidae. The record is from RNAcentral.